UUGCGCCCCAAGCCGUUAGGCCGAGGGCACGUCUGCCUGGGUGUCACGCAUCGUUGCCCCACCACCCCGCCCCCCCUCUAAGCGGGGGCCCGGCGGUGCGGGCGGAGAAUGGCCUCCCGUGCGCUCCCCGCUCGCGGUUGGCCCAAAUCCGAGUCUCCGGAGACCGGAGCCGCGACGAUCGGUGGUGAGAACAUACCUCUCGGGAUCACGUCGCGAGCCCCGUCCCCGUCGAGGGACUCAGGGACCCUGACGCUCCGCGCAAGCGGCGCUCGCAUCGCGACCCCAGGUCAGGCGGGACUACCCGCUGAGUUUAAGCAUAUCAAUAAGCGGAGGAAAAGAAACUUACCAGGAUUCCCCU
This 358-nucleotide ribosomal RNA is filed under the name Hortia oreadica. Its description in RNAcentral is "eukaryotic LSU rRNA". The stretch from base 278 to 358 matches the Rfam family "Eukaryotic large subunit ribosomal RNA", at positions 1 to 81 of the family's 3401-position model. Lineage: Eukaryota; Viridiplantae; Streptophyta; Magnoliopsida; Sapindales; Rutaceae. The record is from RNAcentral.